GAUGAACGCUGGCGGCGUGCCUAAUACAUGCAAGUCGAGCGAACGGACGAGAAGCUUGCUUUUCUGAUGUUAGCGGCGGACGGGUGAGUAACACGUGGAUAACCUACCUAUAAGACUGGGAUAACUUCGGGAAACCGGAGCUAAUACCGGAUAAUAUUUUGAACCGCAUGGUUCAAAAGUGAAAGACGGUCUUGCUGUCACUUAUAGAUGGAUCCGCGCUGCAUUAGCUAGUUGGUAAGGUAACGGCUUACCAAGGCAACGAUGCAUAGCCGACCUGAGAGGGUGAUCGGCCACACUGGAACUGAGACACGGUCCAGACUCCUACGGGAGGCAGCAGUAGGGAAUCUUCCGCAAUGGGCGAAAGCCUGACGGAGCAACGCCGCGUGAGUGAUGAAGGUCUUCGGAUCGUAAAACUCUGUUAUUAGGGAAGAACAUAUGUGUAAGUAACUGUGCACAUCUUGACGGUACCUAAUCAGAAAGCCACGGCUAACUACGUGCCAGCAGCCGCGGUUAAUACGCAGGUGGCAAGCGUUAUCCGGAAUUAUUGGGCGUUAAGCGCGCGUAGGCGGUUUUUUAAGUCUGAUGUGAAAGCCCACGGCGUAACCGUGGAGGGUCAUUGGAAACUGGAAAACUUGAGUGCAGAAGAGGAAAGUGGAAUUCCAUGUGUAGCGGUGAAAUGCGCAGAGAUGUGGAGGAACACCAGUGGCGAAGGCGACUUUCUGGUCUGUAACUGACGCUGAUGUGCGAAAGCGUGGGGAUCAAACAGGAUUAGAUACCCUGGUAGUCCACGCCGUAAACGAUGAGUGCUAAGUGUUAGGGGGUUUCCGCCCCUUAGUGCUGCAGCUAACGCAUUAAGCACUCCGCCUGGGGAGUACGACCGCAAGGUUGAAACUCAAAGGAAUUGACGGGGGCCCGCACAAGCGGUGGAGCAUGUGGUUUAACUCGAAGCAACGCGAAGAACCUUACCAAAUCUUGACAUCCUUUGACAACUCUAGAGAUAGAGCCUUCCCCUUCGGGGGACAAAGUGACAGGUGGUGCAUGGUUGUCGUCAGCUCGUGUCGUGAGAUGUUGGGUUAAGUCCCGCAACGAGCGCAACCCUUAAGCUUAGUUGCCAUCAUUAAGUUGGGCACUCUAAGUUGACUGCCGGUGACAAACCGGAGGAAGGUGGGGAUGACGUCAAAUCAUCAUGCCCCUUAUGAUUUGGGCUACACACGUGCUACAAUGGACAAUACAAAGGGCAGCGAAACCGCGAGGUCAAGCAAAUCCCAUAAAGUUGUUCUCAGUUCGGAUUGUAGUCUGCAACUCGACUACAUGAAGCUGGAAUCGCUAGUAAUCGUAGAUCAGCAUGCUACGGUGAAUACGUUCCCGGGUCU
This 1373-nucleotide ribosomal RNA is filed under the name uncultured bacterium. RNAcentral's name for it is "bacterial SSU rRNA". It matches the Rfam family "Bacterial small subunit ribosomal RNA", at positions 28 to 1381 of the family's 1533-position model. The record is from RNAcentral.